CCUACGGGAGGCGGCAGUGGGGAAUAUUGGACAAUGGGCGAAAGCCUGAUCCAGCAAUGCCGCGUGAGUGAUGAAGGCCUUAGGGUUGUAAAGCUCUUUUACCCGAGAUGAUAAUGACAGUAUCGGGAGAAUAAGCUCCGGCUAACUCCGUGCCAGCAGCCGCGGUAAUACGGAGGGAGCUAGCGUUGUUCGGAAUUACUGGGCGUAAAGCGCACGUAGGCGGCGAUCUAAGUCAGAGGUGAAAGCCCGGGGCUCAACCCCGGAAUUGCCUUUGAGACUGGAUUGCUUGAAUCCAGGAGAGGUGAGUGGAAUUCCGAGUGUAGAGGUGAAAUUCGUAGAUAUUCGGAAGAACACCAGUGGCGAAGGCGGCUCACUGGACUGGUAUUGACGCUGAGGUGCGAAAGCGUGAGGAGCAAACAGGAUUAGAUACCCUGGUAGUCCACGCCGUAAACGAUGAUAACUAGCUGUCUGGGUGCAUGGUCGACGUUAGGUUGGUCGGCGAGCUAACGACAUUAAGUUAGUCCGCCGUCGGGGUAGGUACGGUCGGCGAAGUAAGUUAAAACGUUAAAGUUAGUUAAGUUAGUUACGGCGUGAGACGUUGCCGACGGACGACGACGAGGGGAGGUUAGG
RNAcentral lists this ribosomal RNA (630 nucleotides) under uncultured bacterium. Its description in RNAcentral is "bacterial SSU rRNA". The stretch from base 1 to 527 matches the Rfam family "Bacterial small subunit ribosomal RNA", at positions 338 to 873 of the family's 1533-position model. The record is from RNAcentral.